Molecule: ribosomal RNA, 191 nt
Filed under: uncultured bacterium
Lineage: Bacteria
Description: partial 16S ribosomal RNA
Rfam family: Bacterial small subunit ribosomal RNA
Source: RNAcentral
AACUCGCCUGCACAAGUUGGAAUUGCUAGUAAUCGUGGAUCAGCAUGCCACGGUGAAUACGUUCCCGGGUCUUGUACACACCGCCCGUCACACCAUGGGAGCCGGUAAUACCCGAAGUCAGUAGUCUAACCGCAAGGAGGACGCUGCCGAAGGUAGGAUUGGCGACUGGGGUGAAGUCGUAACAAGGUAGC